ACCCUACCCCCGAGAUUCACACAGCAGGGUCCACUCCCUCCCAGGCUUGGCUUCCCCAGGCUGAGGGCUGGGCAUUGGCACCCUUCCACAGACCACAUGAGUCAGCUCCCUCCCCACCCAACAAGGCCAGUGCUGGCUCUGUCUGAGGUCCCUUUGUUCAGGUCUCUUCUGAAGAAAGGCACCAGAGGCUCCAGCUCUGGCCAUAAUGCCCCAGAUGAAGCUUGACAGGAGAACUGGACACAACAGGCCAGAAUAUGCAUUCCAGGAGAGCAGGGAUAUUUGUUUUGUUCCCCGAUGUAUCCCCUGGAUCUAGCACAGGACUGGCAGGAACCCCAGAUUCUUCUCCAUGGUCGGAAUCAUUGCAAAAUAACUGGUUUCCCUAGGAUCACCAGCUGUCAUGGACUGAUUUGUGUCUCUCCAAAUUCAUAUGUUGAAUACUUAACCUGCCAUGCGAUUGUGAUUGGAGAUAAUUCCUUUAGGGAAGCAAUGAAGGUUAAAUGAGGUCAUAGGUGGGAGCUUAAUCCAAUGGGACUGGGGUCCCUACAAGAAGAGGAAGACACCAGAGCUCUCUGUCUCCACACACAGAGAAAAGAGGCUGUAUGAGGACACAAGAGAAGGUAAUAGCUGUCUACAAACCAAGAAGAGAAGCCUCUCCAGAAAAUGAACCCUGCUGGAACUUGGUCUUGGACUUUCCAGCCUCCAGAACUGGGAGAAAAUAAAGUUCAAAAUAAAGUUCUGUUGUGUAA
This 746-nucleotide long non-coding RNA is filed under the name Homo sapiens (human). Its description in RNAcentral is "HSALNT0291735". The record is from RNAcentral. Lineage: Eukaryota; Metazoa; Chordata; Mammalia; Primates; Hominidae.